GUGUUCGCAGUGGCAGCAGCCAACGUUGCAGAGGUGUAAACCAGUGCAAUGCCAUAAAGAUUGAAGCAUAUGGUAAUCCUAUAUUCAUGAACAUCAAACUUAAUCUGAGUUCAAAAUUCUUUUUAUUAUGUCAUAUAAUCUAUUAGAACUUAGAAGUUCAACAACUAAUAAAUGCUUACCCAAAUAAUGAAAGCAUAAAUAUCUUGCAGAAGGCUACAAACGACAGUGGUGGAGCUGUUUUUCUGAUAACCAUAAAAAAGGGGAGAGAAAAAAAAAACAGAAAACAAAGAACAGUUAUAGGAUUUGAAACCAGAUAAUCAACUUGAGUUAACUGCUUCGAUAUAGUCUGAGCCAACAAAGAGAAACAUGAACUAGGAGGAAUUAGCUUCAUCACCUU
This 397-nucleotide long non-coding RNA is filed under the name Aquilegia coerulea. Its description in RNAcentral is "long non-coding RNA (ACOE_LNC001740)". Lineage: Eukaryota; Viridiplantae; Streptophyta; Magnoliopsida; Ranunculales; Ranunculaceae. The record is from RNAcentral.